Molecule: ribosomal RNA, 265 nt
Filed under: uncultured archaeon
Lineage: Archaea
Description: partial 16S ribosomal RNA
Rfam family: Archaeal small subunit ribosomal RNA
Source: RNAcentral
AGUCACUGACAUUAGAUACCCCUGUAGUCCCAGCCGUAAACAAUGUGCGUUAAGGUGUGUCGGUAACCACGCGUUACUGAUGCGCCGAAGAGAAAUCGUGAAACGCACCACCUGGGAAGUACGGUCGCAAGGCUGAAACUUAAAGGAAUUGGCGGGGAGCACCACAACAGGUGGAGCCUGCGGUUUAAUUGGAUUCAACGCCGGACAUCUCACUGGAUAAGACAGCUGAAUGAUUGUCAAUCUGAAGGUUUUACAUGGCUAGCUG